CGGGGUGUAGCUCAGUCGGUUAGAGCGGCAAUCUUAUACGUUGAUGGACGCGCGUUCGAGUCGCGCCACCCCGA
RNAcentral lists this transfer RNA (74 nucleotides) under Catalinimonas alkaloidigena. Its description in RNAcentral is "Bacteroidetes bacterium CNU-914 tRNA". It matches the Rfam family "tRNA". Rfam says of the family: Transfer RNA (tRNA) molecules are approximately 80 nucleotides in length. Their secondary structure includes four short double-helical elements and three loops (D, anti-codon, and T loops). Lineage: Bacteria; Pseudomonadati; Bacteroidota; Cytophagia; Cytophagales; Catalimonadaceae. The record is from Rfam by way of RNAcentral.